RNAcentral lists this transfer RNA (83 nucleotides) under Podarcis lilfordi (Lilford's wall lizard). Its description in RNAcentral is "tRNA.Ile". The stretch from base 17 to 75 matches the Rfam family "tRNA", at positions 8 to 63 of the family's 71-position model. Rfam says of the family: Transfer RNA (tRNA) molecules are approximately 80 nucleotides in length. Their secondary structure includes four short double-helical elements and three loops (D, anti-codon, and T loops). The record is from RNAcentral. Lineage: Eukaryota; Metazoa; Chordata; Lepidosauria; Squamata; Lacertidae.
GCCCUAAUCACCUGGAUAACUCAGUUGAUUUGAGUGUGGUGCUGAUAAUGCCAAGGUUGCAGGUUCAAUCCCUGUAUGGGACA